RNAcentral lists this ribosomal RNA (253 nucleotides) under uncultured bacterium. RNAcentral's name for it is "partial 16S ribosomal RNA". It matches the Rfam family "Bacterial small subunit ribosomal RNA", at positions 524 to 776 of the family's 1533-position model. The record is from RNAcentral.
GACAGAGGGUGCAAACGUUGUUCGGAUUUACUGGGCGUAAAGCGUGUGUAGGCGGCUUCGCAAGUUGGAUGUGAAAUCCCACGGCUCAACCGUGGACGUGCAUCCAAAACUGCGUCGCUAGAGUCUCGGAGAGGAAGGUGGAAUGCUUGGUGUAGAGGUGAAAUUCGUAGAUAUCAAGCAGAACACCUGCGGCGAAGGCGGCCUUCUGGACGAUGACUGACGCUGAGACGCGAAAGCGUGGGGAGCAAACAGG